GCCGGUGUGGUGAAAUUGGCAAACACGCACGGUUCAGGGCCGUGUGCGAAAGCUUGGAGGUUCGAAUCCUCUCACCGGCA
This 80-nucleotide transfer RNA is filed under the name Candidatus Tagabacteria bacterium RIFCSPLOWO2_01_FULL_39_11. RNAcentral describes it as "tRNA-Leu". It matches the Rfam family "tRNA". From Rfam's summary of the family: Transfer RNA (tRNA) molecules are approximately 80 nucleotides in length. The record is from RNAcentral. Lineage: Bacteria; Candidatus Tagaibacteriota.